UCUAUAAUAAUAUUCUAGAUAAUAACCAAAAACAGCAAAAUUUCCUUAAAAUUACCAUUUCAGGGGCAGAAACCCAACAACAGGUUGUCAGAUUCAUCUGAAAAUUUCAGGGCAGAUAGAUGUUGACCUGAUAAACAAUUUUACCCCAUGUCAGAUUUGCUCUAAAGGCUGCGGUUUCAGAGUUAUAAGCCAAAAUCUACAUUUCACCCCUAUGUUCGAUUUUUAGCCAUGGCGGCCAUCUUGGUUUGUUGGCCGGGUCACGGGACACAAUUUUUAAACUAGAUACCCCAAUGAUGAUUGUGGCCAAGUUUGGUUUAAUUUGGCCCAGUAGUUUCAGAGGAGAAGAUUUUUUGUAAAAGAUAACUAAGAUUUACGAAAAAUGGUUAAAAAUUGACUAUAAAGGGCAAUAACUCCUAAAGAAAUCAACAGACCAUUUUGGUCUUGUUGACUUAUUUGUAGAUCUUACUUUGCUGAACAUUUUUGCUGUUUACAGUUUAUCUCUAUCUAUAAUAAUAUUCAAGAUAAUAACCAAAAACAGCAAAAUGUCCUUAAAAUUACCAAUUCAGGGGCAGCAACCUAUCAACGGGUUGUCCAAUUCAUCUCAAAAUUUCAGGGCAGAUAGAUCUUGACCUGAUAAACAAUUUUACCCGAUGUCAGAUUUGCUCUAAAUGCUUUGGUUUUUGAGUGAUAAGCCAAAAACGGCAUUUUACCCCUAUGUUCUAUUUUUAGCCAUGGCGGCCAUCUUGGUUGGUUGGCCGGGUCACCGGAC
RNAcentral lists this long non-coding RNA (769 nucleotides) under Mytilus galloprovincialis (Mediterranean mussel). Lineage: Eukaryota; Metazoa; Mollusca; Bivalvia; Mytilida; Mytilidae. The record is from RNAcentral.